GAUGAACGCUAGCUACAGGCUUAACACAUGCAAGUCGAGGGGAAACGACAUCGAAAGCUUGCUUUUGAUGGGCGUCGACCGGCGCACGGGUGAGUAACGCGUAUCCAACCUGCCCAUCACUUGGGAAUAACCUUGCGAAAGUAAGACUAAUACCCAAUGACAUCCCACGAAGACAUCUGAAUGGGAUUAAAGAUUUAUCGGUGAUGGAUGGGGAUGCGUCUGAUUAGCUUGUUGGCGGGGUAACGGCCCACCAAGGCAACGAUCAGUAGGGGUUCUGAGAGGAAGGUACCCCACAUUGGAACUGAGACACGGUCCAAACUCCUACGGGGGGCAGCAGUGAGGAAUAUUGGGCAAUGGGCGAGAGCCUGAACCAGCCAAGUAGCGUGCAGGAUGACGGCCCUAUGGGUUGUAAACUGCUUUUAUAAGGGAAUAAAGUGGGUCUCGUGAGACUUUUUGCAUGUACCUUAUGAAUAAGGACCGGCUAAUUCCGUG
RNAcentral lists this ribosomal RNA (492 nucleotides) under uncultured bacterium. Its description in RNAcentral is "partial 16S ribosomal RNA". It matches the Rfam family "Bacterial small subunit ribosomal RNA", at positions 28 to 507 of the family's 1533-position model. The record is from RNAcentral.